CCUACGGGAGACAGCAGUGGGGAAUAUUGCACAAUGGGCGAAAGCCUGAUGCAGCAACGCCGCGUGAGCGAUGAAGGCCUUCUGGUCGUAAAGCUCUGUCCUCAAGGAAGCUAAUGACGGUACUUGAGGAGUUCCCCCCGGCUAACUACGUGCCAGCAGCCGCGGUAAUACGUAGGGGGCUAGCGUUAUCCGGAAUUACUGGGCGUAAAGGGUGCGUAGGUGGUUUCUUAAGUCAGAGGUGAAAGGCUCCGGCUCAACCGUAGUAAGCCUUUGAAACUGGGGAACUUGAGUGCAGGAGAGGAGAGUGGUAUUCCUAGUGUAGCGGUGAAAUGCGUAGAUAUUAGGAAGAACACCAGUUGCGAAGGCAGCUCUCUGGACUGUAACUGACACUGAGGCACGAAAGCGUGGGGAGCGAACAGGAUUAGAUACCCGAGUAGUC
This 439-nucleotide ribosomal RNA is filed under the name uncultured bacterium. RNAcentral's name for it is "partial 16S ribosomal RNA". It matches the Rfam family "Bacterial small subunit ribosomal RNA", at positions 338 to 795 of the family's 1533-position model. The record is from RNAcentral.